UGGGGAAUAUUGGACAAUGGGCGGAAGCCUGAUCCAGCAACGCCGCGUGAGGGAUGACGGCCUUCGGGUUGUAAACCUCUUUCAGUACCGACGAAGCGCAAGUGACGGUAGGUACAGAAGAAGCACCGGCCAACUACGUGCCAGCAGCCGCGGUAAUACGUAGGGUGCGAGCGUUGUCCGGAAUUAUUGGGCGUAAAGGGCUCGUAGGCGGUUUGUCGCGUCGGGAGUGAAAACGCCGUGCUUAACACG
This 249-nucleotide ribosomal RNA is filed under the name uncultured Nocardioidaceae bacterium. RNAcentral's name for it is "partial 16S ribosomal RNA". It matches the Rfam family "Bacterial small subunit ribosomal RNA", at positions 355 to 616 of the family's 1533-position model. Lineage: Bacteria; Bacillati; Actinomycetota; Actinomycetes; Propionibacteriales; Nocardioidaceae. The record is from RNAcentral.